Molecule: ribosomal RNA, 2926 nt
Filed under: Salmonella enterica subsp. enterica serovar Newport str. CDC 2009K-1331
Lineage: Bacteria; Pseudomonadati; Pseudomonadota; Gammaproteobacteria; Enterobacterales; Enterobacteriaceae
Description: 23S ribosomal RNA
Rfam family: Bacterial large subunit ribosomal RNA
Source: RNAcentral
GGGUUGUGAGGUUAAGCGACUAAGCGUACACGGUGGAUGCCCUGGCAGUCAGAGGCGAUGAAGGGCGUGCUAAUCUGCGAUAAGCGCCGGUAAGGUGAUAUGAACCGUUAUAACCGGCGAUACCCGAAUGGGGAAACCCAGUGUGAUUCGUCACACUAUCAUUACGUGAAUACAUAGCGUAAUGAAGCGAACCGGGGGAACUGAAACAUCUAAGUACCCCGAGGAAAAGAAAUCAACCGAGAUUCCCCCAGUAGCGGCGAGCGAACGGGGAGGAGCCCAGAGCCUGAAUCAGCAUGUGUGUUAGUGGAAGCGUCUGGAAAGGCGCGCGAUACAGGGUGACAGCCCCGUACACAAAAGCGCAUGUGUUGUGAGCUCGAUGAGUAGGGCGGGACACGUGGUAUCCUGUCUGAAUAUGGGGGGACCAUCCUCCAAGGCUAAAUACUCCUGACUGACCGAUAGUGAACCAGUACCGUGAGGGAAAGGCGAAAAGAACCCCGGCGAGGGGAGUGAAAAAGAACCUGAAACCGUGUACGUACAAGCAGUGGGAGCACCCUUUGGGGUGUGACUGCGUACCUUUUGUAUAAUGGGUCAGCGACUUAUAUUCUGUAGCAAGGUUAACCGAAUAGGGGAGCCGGAGGGAAACCGAGUCUUAAUUGGGCGUUAAGUUGCAGGGUAUAGACCCGAAACCCGGUGAUCUAGCCAUGGGCAGGUUGAAGGUUGGGUAACACUAACUGGAGGACCGAACCGACUAAUGUUGAAAAAUUAGCGGAUGACCUGUGGCUGGGGGUGAAAGGCCAAUCAAACCGGGAGAUAGCUGGUUCUCCCCGAAAGCUAUUUAGGUAGCGCCUCGUGAAUUCAUCUCCGGGGGUAGAGCACUGUUUCGGCUAGGGGGCCAUCCCGGCUUACCAACCCGAUGCAAACUGCGAAUACCGGAGAAUGUUAUCACGGGAGACACACGGCGGGUGCUAACGUCCGUCGUGAAGAGGGAAACAACCCAGACCGCCAGCUAAGGUCCCAAAGUCAUGGUUAAGUGGGAAACGAUGUGGGAAGGCCCAGACAGCCAGGAUGUUGGCUUAGAAGCAGCCAUCAUUUAAAGAAAGCGUAAUAGCUCACUGGUCGAGUCGGCCUGCGCGGAAGAUGUAACGGGGCUAAACCAUGCACCGAAGCUGCGGCAGCGACACUAUGUGUUGUUGGGUAGGGGAGCGUUCUGUAAGCCUGUGAAGGUGUGUCGUGAGGCAUGCUGGAGGUAUCAGAAGUGCGAAUGCUGACAUAAGUAACGAUAAAGCGGGUGAAAAGCCCGCUCGCCGGAAGACCAAGGGUUCCUGUCCAACGUUAAUCGGGGCAGGGUGAGUCGACCCCUAAGGCGAGGCCGAAAGGCGUAGUCGAUGGGAAACGGGUUAAUAUUCCCGUACUUGGUGUUACUGCGAAGGGGGGACGGAGAAGGCUAUGUUGGCCGGGCGACGGUUGUCCCGGUUUAAGCGUGUAGGUGUGUGUUCCAGGUAAAUCCGGUUCACUUUAACACUGAGGCGUGACGACGAGGCACUACGGUGCUGAAGCAACAAAUGCCCUGCUUCCAGGAAAAGCCUCUAAGCAUCAGGUAACAUCAAAUCGUACCCCAAACCGACACAGGUGGUCAGGUAGAGAAUACCAAGGCGCUUGAGAGAACUCGGGUGAAGGAACUAGGCAAAAUGGUGCCGUAACUUCGGGAGAAGGCACGCUGACACGUAGGUGAAGUGAUUUACUCAUGGAGCUGAAGUCAGUCGAAGAUACCAGCUGGCUGCAACUGUUUAUUAAAAACACAGCACUGUGCAAACACGAAAGUGGACGUAUACGGUGUGACGCCUGCCCGGUGCCGGAAGGUUAAUUGAUGGGGUCAGCGCAAGCGAAGCUCCUGAUCGAAGCCCCGGUAAACGGCGGCCGUAACUAUAACGGUCCUAAGGUAGCGAAAUUCCUUGUCGGGUAAGUUCCGACCUGCACGAAUGGCGUAAUGAUGGCCAGGCUGUCUCCACCCGAGACUCAGUGAAAUUGAACUCGCUGUGAAGAUGCAGUGUACCCGCGGCAAGACGGAAAGACCCCGUGAACCUUUACUAUAGCUUGACACUGAACAUUGAGCCUUGAUGUGUAGGAUAGGUGGGAGGCUUUGAAGUGUGGACGCCAGUCUGCAUGGAGCCGACCUUGAAAUACCACCCUUUAAUGUUUGAUGUUCUAACGUGGACCCGUGAUCCGGGUUGCGGACAGUGUCUGGUGGGUAGUUUGACUGGGGCGGUCUCCUCCUAAAGAGUAACGGAGGAGCACGAAGGUUGGCUAAUCCUGGUCGGACAUCAGGAGGUUAGUGCAAUGGCAUAAGCCAGCUUGACUGCGAGCGUGACGGCGCGAGCAGGUGCGAAAGCAGGUCAUAGUGAUCCGGUGGUUCUGAAUGGAAGGGCCAUCGCUCAACGGAUAAAAGGUACUCCGGGGAUAACAGGCUGAUACCGCCCAAGAGUUCAUAUCGACGGCGGUGUUUGGCACCUCGAUGUCGGCUCAUCACAUCCUGGGGCUGAAGUAGGUCCCAAGGGUAUGGCUGUUCGCCAUUUAAAGUGGUACGCGAGCUGGGUUUAGAACGUCGUGAGACAGUUCGGUCCCUAUCUGCCGUGGGCGCUGGAGAACUGAGGGGGGCUGCUCCUAGUACGAGAGGACCGGAGUGGACGCAUCACUGGUGUUCGGGUUGUCAUGCCAAUGGCACUGCCCGGUAGCUAAAUGCGGAAGAGAUAAGUGCUGAAAGCAUCUAAGCACGAAACUUGCCCCGAGAUGAGUUCUCCCUGAGACUUAGAGUCUCCUGAAGGAACGUUGAAGACGACGACGUUGAUAGGCCGGGUGUGUAAGCGCAGCGAUGCGUUGAGCUAACCGGUACUAAUGAACCGUGAGGCUUAACCUUACAACGCCGAAG